This 483-nucleotide ribosomal RNA is filed under the name uncultured bacterium. Its description in RNAcentral is "bacterial SSU rRNA". It matches the Rfam family "Bacterial small subunit ribosomal RNA", at positions 501 to 987 of the family's 1533-position model. The record is from RNAcentral.
CUACGUGCCAGCAGCCGCGGUAAUACGGAAGGUCCGGGCGUUAUCCGGAUUUAUUGGGUUUAAAGGGAGCGUAGGCCGGAGAUUAAGUGUGUUGUGAAAUGUAGACGCUCAACGUCUGACUUGCAGUGCAUACUGGUUUCCUUGAGUACGCACAACGUUGGCGGAAUUCGUCGUGUAGCGGUGAAAUGCUUAGAUAUGACGAAGAACUCCGAUUGCGAAGGCAGCUGACGGGAGCGCAACUGACGCUGAAGCUCGAAGGUGCGGGUAUCGAACAGGAUUAGAUACCCUGGUAGUCCGCACAGUAAACGAUGGAUGCCCGCUGUUGGUACUUGGUAUCAGCGGCUAAGCGAAAGCAUUAAGCAUCCCACCUGGGGAGUACGCCGGCAACGGUGAAACUCAAAGGAAUUGACGGGGGCCCGCACAAGCGGAGGAACAUGUGGUUUAAUUCGAUGCAAAGCGAAGAACCUUACCAGGUCUUGACAU